GCACAGAGUUAGCCGGUGCUUAUUCUGUCGGUAACGUCAAAACACUAACGUAUUAGGUUAAUGCCCUUCCUCCCAACUUAAAGUGCUUUACAAUCCGAAGACCUUCUUCACACACGCGGCAUGGCUGCAUCAGGGUUUCCCCCAUUGUGCAAUAUUCCCCA
This 161-nucleotide ribosomal RNA is filed under the name uncultured bacterium. Its description in RNAcentral is "partial 16S ribosomal RNA". The record is from RNAcentral.